AGAACGAACGCUGGCGGCAUGCCUAACACAUGCAAGUCGAACGCUUUUGGGGCUUCGGUCCCAAAGGAGUGGCGCACGGGUGAGUAGCGCGUGGGAACCUGCCCUGUUGUGGGGGAUAACCGAGGGAAACUUCGGCUAAUACCGCAUACGCCCGGGGGAAACUCCGGGGAAAGAUUCAUCGCAGCAGGAGGGGCCCGCGUCGGAUUAGGUAGUUGGUGGGGUAACGGCCCACCAAGCCUGUGAUCCGUAGCUGGUCUGAGAGGAUGAUCAGCCACACUGGGACUGAGACACGGCCCAGACUCCUACGGGAGGCAGCAGUGGGGAAUAUUGGACAAUGGGCGCAAGCCUGAUCCAGCAAUGCCGCGUGAGUGAUGAAGGCCUUCGGGUUGUAAAGCUCUUUCGCACGCGACGAUGAUGACGGUACGGUGGAAGAAGCCCGGCUAACGUUCGUGCCAGCAGCCGC
Molecule: ribosomal RNA, 463 nt
Filed under: uncultured bacterium
Lineage: Bacteria
Description: SSU rRNA
Rfam family: Bacterial small subunit ribosomal RNA
Source: RNAcentral